RNAcentral lists this ribosomal RNA (468 nucleotides) under uncultured bacterium. RNAcentral describes it as "partial 16S ribosomal RNA". It matches the Rfam family "Bacterial small subunit ribosomal RNA", at positions 28 to 507 of the family's 1533-position model. The record is from RNAcentral.
GACGAACGCUGGCGGCGUGCUUAACACAUGCAAGUCGAACGGAAAGGCCCUGCUUUUGUGGGGUGCUCGAGUGGCGAACGGGUGAGUAACACGUGAGUAACCUGCCCUUGACUUUGGGAUAACUUCAGGAAACUGGGGCUAAUACCGGAUAGGAGCUCCUGCUGCAUGGUGGGGGUUGGAAAGUUUCGGCGGUUGGGGAUGGACUCGCGGCUUAUCAGCUUGUUGGUGGGGUAGUGGCUUACCAAGGCUUUGACGGGUAGCCGGCCUGAGAGGGUGACCGGCCACAUUGGGAAUGAGAUACGGCCCAGACUCCUACGGGAGGCAGCAGUGGGGAAUAUUGCAAAAUGGGCGGAAGCCUGAUGCAGCAACGACGCGUGCGGGAUGACGGCCUUAGGGUUGUAAACCGCUUUCGCCUGUGACGAAGAGUGAGUGACGGUAAUGGGUAAAGAAGCACCGGCUAACUACGUG